RNAcentral lists this ribosomal RNA (495 nucleotides) under uncultured bacterium. RNAcentral's name for it is "partial 16S ribosomal RNA". It matches the Rfam family "Bacterial small subunit ribosomal RNA", at positions 28 to 507 of the family's 1533-position model. The record is from RNAcentral.
GAUGAACGCUGGCGGCGUGCCUAAUACAUGCAAGUAGAACGCUGAAGGAGGAGCUUGCUCUUCUGGAUGAGUUGCGAACGGGUGAGUAACGCGUAGGUAACCUGCCUGGUAGCGGGGGAUAACUAUUGGAAACGAUAGCUAAUACCGCAUGACAACAGUUAUUGCAUGAUAACUGUUUAAAAGGGGCAACUGCUCCACUACCAGAUGGACCUGCGUUGUAUUAGCUAGUUGGUGAGGUAACGGCUCACCAAGGCGACGAUACAUAGCCGACCUGAGAGGGUGAUCGGCCACACUGGGACUGAGACACGGCCCAGACUCCUACGAGAGGCAGCAGUAGGGAAUCUUCGGCAAUGGACGGAAGUCUGACCGAGCAACGCCGCGUGAGUGAAGAAGGUUUUCGGAUCGUAAAGCUCUGUUGUAAGAGAAGAACGAGUGUGAGAGUGGAAAGUUCACGCUGUGACGGUAUCUUACCAGAAAGGGACGGCUAACUACGUG